This 520-nucleotide unclassified non-coding RNA is filed under the name uncultured Entrophospora. RNAcentral describes it as "SSU rRNA". It matches the Rfam family "Eukaryotic small subunit ribosomal RNA", at positions 569 to 1082 of the family's 1831-position model. The record is from RNAcentral. Lineage: Eukaryota; Fungi; Glomeromycota; Glomeromycetes; Entrophosporales; Entrophosporaceae.
AGCAGCCGCGGUAAUUCCAGCUCCAAUAGCGUAUAUUAAAGUUGUUGCAGUUAAAAAGCUCGUAGUUGAAUUUCGGGAUUGACGCGAUGGUCAUGCCUUAAGGGGUAUGAACUGUUACUGUUGAUUUCUCACCUUCUGGAGAAACUUGAUGUCCUUUAUUGGGUGUCUUGCGGAUCCAGGACCUUUACCUUGAAAAAAUUUAGAGUGUUUAAAGCAGGCAUUUUUGCUCGAAUACAUUAGCAUGGAAUAAUAGAAUAGGACGGCAUGGUUCUAUUUUGUUGGUUUCUAGGAUCACCGUAAUGAUUAAUAGGGGUAGUUGGGGGCAUUAGUAUUCAAUUGUCAGAGGUGAAAUUCUUGGAUUUAUUGAAGACUAACUACUGCGAAAGCAUUUGCCAAGGAUGUUUUCAUUAAUCAAGAACGAAAGUUAGGGGGAUCGAAGACGAUCAGAUACCGUCGUAGUCUUAACCAUAAACUAUGCCGACUAGGAAUCAGACGAUGUAAUUUUUUAAUGACUCGUUUG